UGCAUUCACUACUGUAAGUUGCUCUGGAUAAGAGUGUCUGCUAAUUGACUAAAA
Molecule: non-coding RNA, 54 nt
Organism: Salmo salar (Atlantic salmon)
Lineage: Eukaryota; Metazoa; Chordata; Actinopteri; Salmoniformes; Salmonidae
Source: Rfam